RNAcentral lists this ribosomal RNA (253 nucleotides) under uncultured bacterium. RNAcentral's name for it is "partial 16S ribosomal RNA". It matches the Rfam family "Bacterial small subunit ribosomal RNA", at positions 524 to 776 of the family's 1533-position model. The record is from RNAcentral.
UACGUAGGGUGCGAGCGUUGUCCGGAAUUAUUGGGCGUAAAGAGCUCGUAGGCGGUUUGUCGCGUCUGCUGUGAUAACUCGGGGCUUAACUCCGGGCCUGCAGUGGGUACGGGCAGACUAGAGUGCGGUAGGGGAGACUGGAAUUCCUGGUGUAGCGGUGAAAUGCGCAGAUAUCAGGAGGAACACCGGUGGCGAAGGCAGGUCUCUGGGCCGUAACUGACGCUGAGGAGCGAAAGCGUGGGGAGCGAACAGG